GUCGAGGGGUAGAAGCUUUCGGGCUUUGAGACCGGCGCACGGGUGCGUAACGCGUAUGCAAUCUGCCUUACACUAAGGGAUAGCCCAGAGAAAUUUGGAUUAAUACCUUAUAGUAUAUUGAUGUAGCAUUACAUUAUUAUUAAAGAUUUAUCGGUGUAAGAUGAGCAUGCGUCCCAUUAGCUAGUUGGUAUGGUAACGGCAUACCAAGGCAAUGAUGGGUAGGGGUCCUGAGAGGGAGAUCCCCCACACUGGUACUGAGACACGGACCAGACUCC
Molecule: ribosomal RNA, 275 nt
Filed under: uncultured bacterium
Lineage: Bacteria
Description: partial 16S ribosomal RNA
Rfam family: Bacterial small subunit ribosomal RNA
Source: RNAcentral